Molecule: long non-coding RNA, 491 nt
Filed under: Nicotiana benthamiana
Lineage: Eukaryota; Viridiplantae; Streptophyta; Magnoliopsida; Solanales; Solanaceae
Description: long non-coding RNA (NBEN_LNC023567)
Source: RNAcentral
UUUAAACCAGUUCUGCAAUUCACUUAUUUUUCUUUAAGCAAUCUGCCUCCUCUGGAAUUUUUCUUUAAAAUUACCUUUCUGUGUUUCAAUACAACUAGGCAGUCUGUUUUCUCUUCUGAACUCAUUUCUAAACAGUUUUCUAAGUCUGCAGCAUACCUUUUCUCAAAAACCUUCUAUACUAGUUAUUCUCUAAAGUCAGCAUUCUUAAUUAAUUCGCGUUAACCCAGUGCCUUAAUCUAUGAUAAUUGUAUUCGGGUGGCCUAAUAUAGACUUUUUGUCUAAAUAUAUGUGUUCAACCAGUCCGCUUACUGCUUAAUCUAAUUUAAGACCAAACCAGUAUUUGCAAUGGCAUGCUAAACUAUAUGACUUUCUACUUUCAGGGGUUUAUUUGAGUUUUACUUACUUGUUUGCUCUUCCUUUAUUUGAUACCUGUUUUUGAAUGUCGAACUAGUAUUUUGUCAUUUAAACUCCACAAAAACCCCAUCCCUUUC